GUGACGGAGCGACGCCGCGUGGGCGAUGAAGGCCUUCGGGUUGUAAAGUCCUGUCACCUAUUAUGAAUGGCGGGCGGUGAAUAGCUGUCCCGUUUGACGUAAGUAGGAGAGGAAGCACCGGCUAAAUACGUGCCAGCAGCCGCGGUAAUACGUAUGGUGCGAACGUUGUUCGGAUUCACUGGGCAUAAAGAGCGCGUAGGCGGUUGGGUAAGUCCAAUGUGAAAUCCCCCGGCUCAACCGGGGAAUUGCAUCGGAUACUGCCGGACUAGAGCGCAGGAGGGGAGAGCGGAAUUCCUGGUGGAGCGGUGAAAUGCGUAGAUAUCAGGAGGAACGCCGGUGGCGAAAGCGACUCUCUGGCCUGCUACUGACGCUGAGGCGCGAAAGCUAGGGGAGCGAACGGGAUUAGAUACCCCGGUAGUCCUAGCCCUAAACGAUGGGCACUAAGUAGAGGGGUUUU
RNAcentral lists this ribosomal RNA (457 nucleotides) under uncultured bacterium. RNAcentral describes it as "bacterial SSU rRNA". It matches the Rfam family "Bacterial small subunit ribosomal RNA", at positions 383 to 832 of the family's 1533-position model. The record is from RNAcentral.